Molecule: microRNA precursor, 91 nt
Filed under: Pteropus vampyrus (large flying fox)
Lineage: Eukaryota; Metazoa; Chordata; Mammalia; Chiroptera; Pteropodidae
Source: RNAcentral
AUCAGUCUAUGGCCAUGCCACCCUGAACAAGCCCGAUCCCAUCUGAUCUCAGAAGCUAAGCAGGGUUGGGCCUGGUUAGUACUUAGAUGGG